This 419-nucleotide ribosomal RNA is filed under the name uncultured bacterium. Its description in RNAcentral is "bacterial SSU rRNA". It matches the Rfam family "Bacterial small subunit ribosomal RNA", at positions 355 to 787 of the family's 1533-position model. The record is from RNAcentral.
UGGGGAAUAUUGGGCAAUGGGCGCAAGCCUGACCCAGCAACGCCGCGUGAAGGAAGAAGGCCCUCGGGUUGUAAACUUCUUUUGUCAGGGACGAAGCAAGUGACGGUACCUGACGAAUAAGCCACGGCUAACUACGUGCCAGCAGCCGCGGUAAUACGUAGGUGGCAAGCGUUAUCCGGAUUUACUGGGUGUAAAGGGCGUGUAGGCGGGACUGCAAGUCAGAUGUGAAAAGCCAUGGGCUCAACCCAUGGCCUGCAUUUGAAACUGUAGUUCUUGAGUGAUGGAGAGGCAGGCGGAAUUCCGUGUGUAGCGGUGAAAUGCGUAGAUAUACGGAGGAACACCAGUGGCGAAGGCGGCUUACUGGACGGUAACUGACGUUGAGGCUCGAAAGCGUGGGGAGCAAACAGGAUUAGAUACCC